GCCUGAGCGCUAACGUGAAUCUUACAUGUCAACCUGCAUGGAUGCUUUUUUCCAAAAUAUGUGGAUUUUUGUACGUGCAGGGAAUAAAAUUGACAAACAGAUUAUAACCAUAAUUGAUUGUAUUGCAAUUAACGUGUAUGCAAACUAAUAUGGAACUCCUAAACCCUCAUUUUUGUUCUUACUCAGUAGUGAGUAAAAUCGAAAUAAGCGUGCACGGUUCAACUUCAAUUUAAAAAGCCUUUUCAAAAGCCUUUCUGUAUGACAGCUGAAUUUAACGAACGAAGGUGUAAGAGCAAGCAUUGUGUGAGUGACAUUCUCGACAUUGGUAAAAUAUGUCACUAAUACCUACACACCCAGAUACUCACAAGCAAGCUGAAAAGGAAAUAAUAAUCAUCUUUAUUUACGUUUUUCAUCAUCCACUAGUUGCUUGCCAUGUAUUUUGUGCACACCUCCGUAUCAAUCCAUUGAUUCUCCCCAUCGCGAUGGGGAUCACAUUUCCAAAUCCAUAAUUAUUUUGUGCAUACGGUGCAAACGUUAUUUUUCUGCCUAGUGCUCAAAUACCAUUCUAAAAAGAAGAUACUAAAUACGAGUCUCUACUAGAUGAUUUUCUCUACCGGUGUUUUGUUGUUGCUUGGACUAGCAACCAGAAUUCGAUAUUAUCAAUUUCCCACCUUAUCGGCCGCGACGAUUUGAAAUCGUCGCAAAACAAAUUGACGCCAAAAUCGUCGCCAGCAGAAAUGGCCAUAAGAUCUGUCAAAUCAACUAAUAAAGAUGUUGGCGACGAUUUUGAUAGUGCCUAAAAAAUGGUCGGCGCGUUUUGUUACCAAGGAAACAGACAAUGGAACGACUUAUCACAGUCGAAAUUUUAUGACACGAACGGAAAACCAUCAGUUACUACUAUACUUUAUUUAUCAUCCAAUGCACACAGCGUACCAAGAGUACCAACAGGCAUACAAGGAACUAUUGCAAAAUGGUUUAGAUUAUGUAUUUGGAUGGUUAAAAGCAGCACCUAUAAAAGUGAGUAAACGAAAAUGAGGGAAAUUGGCAGAAAAGAAUUCAAAAAAUUCAAAUUAAAACGAACUUUAUUCAAACAACUUUUAUAAAUGUAAUAAACAGAAAUACGCGUUA
Armigeres subalbatus is the source of this 1128-nucleotide long non-coding RNA. RefSeq lists it as uncharacterized. The record is from RefSeq and is a predicted model, not a curated record. Lineage: Eukaryota; Metazoa; Arthropoda; Insecta; Diptera; Culicidae. The transcript has 3 exons.